Magnolia sinica is the source of this 1133-nucleotide long non-coding RNA. RefSeq lists it as uncharacterized. The transcript has 2 exons. Lineage: Eukaryota; Viridiplantae; Streptophyta; Magnoliopsida; Magnoliales; Magnoliaceae. The record is from RefSeq and is a predicted model, not a curated record.
ACAUGUAUUCACAUGGGGUUACUGUGGGGGCCACCUUGAUGUAUGUAUUAUGCAUCCAUGCCAUCCAUUAUUAUUUUCGAAUCAUUAUGGGGCACUAUCCCAAAAAAUGAAACAAUCUAAUUACCGGGUGGACCAUACCAUAAGAAAAACAAAUAUCAUAUUCAUCCAAAACUUGUGUGACCCCCAAAAGGCUUUCAAUGGUAGACGUUCAAUCCCCCACUGCUUUUGGAGUGUGGUCCAAUUGAUUUUUGCAUCUGUAUUAUUUUUCUGGUCAAGCUUUACAACGAUCUCAACAAAUGGACAGGCGGUUUGGAUAUAACACAUACCUUAUGGUGGGACCCACAUAACUUGGUGAUGUCAACACACCAGCCACACAAAACAGUGAGGAGAGUUUGGGGUCACAGGCAAUCCAUUAGCAUCAUCAAUCCCGACAACCGCAAACCCACCAGCUUCAAGUGAUUUCUUGCUCUUCUUCUUCAUCCUUUCUGAAAUCUCUUCAAUUUGAAUCCCCCAUUUCAGAGUUUGGGGUCACAGGCAAUCCAUUCCCAUUUCAGAGAAGGCUGCUUCUGUCUCUCAACACUGAACAUAUUCUGUUUUCAGUGUGCUCUUAAAAGGGUGCCGGCUAUUUGGCACGCAUCCAAGAUCAGAGUCGUUUGGAGGGUGGGUUGUCCCUUGGUGCAACACCCAGCAGGCCACAAAACAAUGGACGGUUUAGAGCAGGUAUUGAGUGUGGGAUGGAAAACAGCCCUGGAAAUCAGCUUUAGAGAUUGGUUUCUGAUUGAGAUUGUAGGAGUGGUUGAAGAACGGGGAUCGUGAGCUGGUUGAAUGGCCAUAAUUGCAGAAGUAGAUCUAAUUCUAGAUCUGGAAAUUCGAAGGAUUGCUGGAAUAGGAUCUGAUCUCAGAUCUGAGCCAUUGUCGGACCAUGAUCUGUCUUGAUCUGCUGCAGAAAUUGUUGAUUUUGUAAUGUGCUUAAUUUUUUAUUUUUUAUUUUUAUAUAGAAAUAUGCACAUUAAUUGUUUGACGAAAUGCUUCAACCAAGACCCUUUUUGGAUGGAACCACACUAGCUGUCCUCCAGUUUGAUACACACAACUUGUUGUAUGGUUGGAUGAAACCAAUGGAUUCUAAGAAGUAA